AUGGCAUCAAUAUGAGAUAUAAUAUCUUAAAAUUGUUAGAGCACAAACAAUCCUUUAGAUUUUCUGUCCUGAGGAACAAGAACUAGAAACUUAAAGAAAUGACAAUGCAUCAACCAAUACCUUCAAGAUAAAAUAUAGACUAAAUAUGUAUCAUUGUGAAUCUACAAAUGCUAACAUCUACAAAAUUAAGGUAUUAUAUAAGAAUACUAUAUCAAUCAUAUCUGAUUUUCGGGCUGUGAAAAGAACUCCUUUGCUUUAUGAGCUACCUCUGCUUCCAAAAUUGCUUCUUGAACUAUGUCAGAUCCUUUCACAUCAGCUCCUAAUACAACCAAAGCUUGUUUCAAUUCAGAUAUCAUUCUAGAGCAAAUAAAAAACGCUGCAUAAAAAUCACUAUAACAUAGUAUGCGAUGCAGAUAACAGACAAUCAUGAUUAAGUUAUUAUUACCACCACGAUUUGGUAAGAGUCCAGUACUUUCAGCGGAAACUGGCAUGACAAUAAGCUGCAGACCAUCUUUAAUCUUCUCAACUUCAGCACUACUUGCCAAUGAACCAUUCUUGAUGGAAGGGGCCUCGGCCAACCUGGCAUAAGUAGUUGCUUUGCAUUGGAUGGCAAUGGAGUUGAAUUCUAUAAAUAAUUAGACGUGUAAGAAAACACGCUCCCUAGAGGAGUCCAUUCUAUAGAAUUAUUAUUAUUAGUUUCUGUAUGUGGUCAAUAAACCUUGGUAAGAGACGAUAUUGAGAGAUUCACUCCAGCACCUUCCGGUAUCCUAUUGUUUGCAUAUCCACCUACAGCCGAUAACACGGUUAUACAAAAUAUCGGCAUCAAUACAUUUCGAUUAAAUCGCGCAUCAAUGUAAACAAUACCAUUUAAGAUGGAUGGCUGGUCGAGAUUAUCAAGCCUCCGAGUUAAAGGGCCAGGAUUUAUAAAUGAUAGACUUCGAACUUCAUGUUGAAUAGCAUUUACUUCUGCCAUCAUAUCCCGAAGUUCAUUAUGAAGCUAAAAGGCAGAAUAGAAUAUAUGAUUAACUAGAUUGCAAUUUUCAAUUUUCUUACAAUGCAACGAUGAGUUUACGAGUUUUAAUAUGGACAGUGAUAUCCAUAUGAAUCAUAAGUUUGAUAAAAGAAAGGGAGAGUACCUGGCGAGCUUGAGAUUGCUGUAUAACAGAUCCAAGGUGUCCCCGGGCCAAUUGUACAUAUGCAAUAGCCCGGCCAGCCAUCCUCCCAGCUGUUCUGGAGAUCCAAGGUGUCCCCGGGCCAAUUGUACAUAUGCAAUAGCCCGGCCAGCCAUCCUCCCAGCUGUUCUGGUUAUGAUUGGCAAAUCCUUUGGACCUAUUGCACAUUGAUUUUCCGGUUAAACAAUUUUGAUCUAUUGGUACGAAAAUUUCAAUAUGAUAAAGAUAAGUAAGAAUAGCAUGAACCAAACCAAGCAGAGCCGCAGUGGCUCCCAGCAAUAAGAAUAUUUCUCCCUAUGAAAAUCCCAGCAUUGUUGAGUCUUGUUGUGUGAGAUUUCUACUGGAGUAGGGUUAAGAAACGAAGGUUGAGAAUUGAAUGAAAGCUUGAAACCUAAAAAGGUAAAUUGAAAUUAACAGAAUACCUGUGCCGUCAAUUGAAGGGCUUUAACGCGAAAUCGGGAAUCGUGAUGCGCCGGAAGUUAAUCGCCGGUAAAUUGCUUUUUUAUUGCGACAAUAAAUAACUCUGGCAGCUAUUUCAACCGGUUUGCUUACGAGAAAAAGAGAAAACGGCGACUAUUUCAACCGGUUUGCUUACGAGACUAAGAAAAAGAGAAAAAGUUAAGUAUGAUAUAGUAACGAGACUAAGAAAAAGAGAAAACGGCAGCUAUUUUCAAGGGUUUGCUUACGAGACUAAGAAAAAGAGAAAAAGUUAAGUGUGAUAUAGUAACGAGACUAAGAAAAAGAGAAAACGGCAGCUAUUUCAAGGGUUUGCUUACGAGACUAAGAAAAAGAGAAAAAGUUAAGUGUGAUAUAGUAUCGAGACUAAGAAAAAGAGAAAAAGGCAGCUAUUUCAAGGGUUUGCUUACGAGACUAAGAAAAAGAGAAAAAGUUAAGUGUGAUAUAGUAAAAGAAAUAAAAAGUAAACAAACACACUUGGUGGGACUCGAACCCAGAAUCGCUUGAUUAGAGUUUAAAUUGUGCUAUGCAUGCAAAUUUAUUUUCACACUUGGUUCUCAAUCGAAGAAAAAUUGGAGAAAAACAACAAUGAGUUCACCCCAAAUUUGUUAUGGAUACAUUUGUUCUUACAUAUUCUGCGGUUAUUCGUGGUUACAUGAACGUCGGGAGGAAUAAUGAUCCAUUUCCUGAUUUUAAAAGAUAAAUGAAUUGCAACAAAAAAAAUAAUUGCAUAAAGCAAAGAAAAAAAUGGCAAUUAUAAUCUCUUCAUAUCUCAUGUGAUAGUAAUUUAUUCGUAUGGUGGAGGGGUCCAAUGUUCAACCAUAGGAUGAACUUAAAAGAUUUAUCUUUAAGAAAAAUUUGAUUUUUUUUUAUGUUGGUAUUGGUUAAAAAAUUUAAAUAAAAAAAUAUUUAUGUUCAAUGUAUUAAAUAUAUAUAAUAUUUUAUAAAAAAUUUAAUUAUUUAUAGUUUUAGUGAAUUGAAUACAUUUGAUUUUUUUUUAUGUUGGUAUUGGUUAAAAAAUUUAAAUAAAAAAAUAUUUAUGUUCAAUGUAUUAAAUAUAUAUAAUAUUUUAUAAAAAAUUUAAUUAUUUAUAGUUUUAGUGAAUUGAAUACAAAUAAUUUUAAAAAAUUUAUCUUUUUAGUUUUUAAAAUAAUGAUUAACUUAUCUUUUUAAUUUCUUAAAAAAGUGUUCCUACAUUAGUUAGCAUUUCUUUUAAUGUUUGAUAAAAUAACACUGUUAUUAAAAUAUUUUAUAAUGCACCUAGUAAAACCUUUAAAUCAUUUAAAGAAACUUUUAUAGUCAUUUUUUCAUUUCUCCUUUUUUUAGAUGACAAGCCUUGAUCCAAAUUGCAUUGAUCCAAACUUGCAAGCAAGGUAUUUCUUGAAGCAUCAAAAUCAGAGUUACUUAGAGAGCAAACUAAUUCCUAAUCAGAAAAAUUACUGUCUUUUCAUCACGUUUUCUUCUAUGAAUUCAAUGAUCCCACACAACCACCAAGUCCAAAACCUACCACUUCUUUCCCUUCCACAACUCAACAUGCAUAUUUUCCUUUAAAGCCUACAAUCAUCAUUCAUCAUAAAAAGAUUGGAUUUUUAAUGGGUGGCCAACAAAAGAAGAUUAUGGAUUUCAAAGUUUCUCAUAAGUCUGUAGGGUUUGACCUUAUGCAGAACUGUGAUCUUCCUCCACCUUCCAAGGUUUUUUUGGGUUCAGAUAAAACGGUGAUAUUAUCUAUGCAUAAGGUCUGUAAUAUUUCAGGUAGAGAAAAAGGACGAGAUAGCAUACACCAGCUCGAAAAUGAUGAUGACGAAAAGGAUAAAAGAGAGCUUCUUAAGGCGCUGAAAGCAUCUCAAAUACGCGCUAGAGAGGCAGAAAAGAUGGCGGCUAUCCUAAACAAAGUGUGGACAAAAUACAUCAAGCAUGGUUAUGAACAUAUUAAAAUACAUGCAAAUGAAUCUCAAUUCAAAAAAAUAACAUUGCUAGGGCACCACCUUUUUCAUCUUGAUUUAUGACUUAAAUUAUGAAUUAUUUAACAUCUAUCAACUUAGGUUUUUCUCCUAUGUACUAUCUCUUUUCCUGCUUUUAAGGAGUAAAAUCGCCUUUCUUAAUAACCAGAGACACGAUACAAGCAAGGAAUGAUAAUCAAAUAGUAGGAUGAAGGACACGAUCAACAAAUUCUUUAGACAAAUUAAAAAAAUGACAUGGAGCGACACUAUUUCUCAUUUAAAAGUAUCACAUUUUUAUUGAUUAUAUAUCUUUAUGGUUCAUGAUAAGAUUCACUUCACAAUUUGAAAAAUGUUCUUUAUAUUCAAGAUUUUAAAUCUCAAUGACGAUGGUGGUUGAGGUUAUCAAGAAAUGGCAUCAUAUGAGAUAUAAUAUCUUAAAAUUGUUAGAGCACAAACAAUCCUUUAGAUUUUCUGUCCUGAGAACAAGAACUAGAAACUUAAAGAAUGACNAAAGAUGGCGGCUAUCCUAAACAAAGAAAAGGAUGGUCUCUCUGUUGCUUUGUUGGAAGAGGCCAUGCAGUUGUUUGCUUGUUGCCAAAGGGUGAGAUUGCUUGAGCUUCAAGUUUUGAACCCAGCGCAAAAGCCAGCAAUGUUGAUGCCUGCAGAGGAGGAGGCUGUAGGAUUACCCCAUGAAGAAACAGUUAGUGUCUCAUGGUUCUGGCUUUGAUUUUUUCAUUGGGAAUUGGGGUUGCCACUGCCCUUGCUUGGGGUUACUAGUCCUGCUGAUAUGCAGAUAUGUAGUGAUACAUGAAAGAAAGACAAUCUCAUAUACAAAUUUUGUAUCAUUAUCUGUUUUUGUUUAUUUACUGCAACAACAUGAUUGCCAAUCUGUGCAACAGUAAUGCCAUUUUAGUAGUAUAAUUGAAGUGUCUUAAUAAUUUAAGAUAUGAACAGUCGAAAAGAGACCAAAUGAUGCAAACUUAUAUUAAAGAAAUCUCGUGUACAAGAUGGUACAGAGUAGUGCAGAACUGCUAUUAUAAUACAUUAGUUCACAUCUUCGCAUUUUCCAACGCUAUGCACAUAAUAUUAUAUACCACUAUACUAAACUUACAAUCACCACACAAUAGCAAUUUAUAUGGAUAAGUGUAUAGUUCUCAUAUGAUCAUAACAUUCAUCACUUUCUAAAAAUAUUUCCAAGCAAACCCAGCAGACAUGUUUUCCGCACUUGCACUCAAUGUGAUUGCACCCAUCAACCUUUUCAAUUAUUUGCCCACAAGCAGAGCAGCUCUUGACUUGUUCUUUCCCUUUACACCACUCCCUCAGAGAUGUGAUCUCUGGGUCAUCUUUAAGCUCCCGGUAUCUCUCGCAUGAAACGAAUGGAUGAUACUCUAAGUGGCACUUGGUACAAGUGUCUGAAUAACAUGCUCCGCAAGUAAAUGGCUCACUACCUGUGUCGGGAUCUGCAACUCGAUAAAUUGAGGGGCAGUCGGGAGACGGGCAAAACCUAUAAGUUCCUGAACUCGAAGCUACAAAAGCUGCAAAGAAGCCCUGAAAAGUUCAUCUAACUUGUCAUUUGACAGGAGAGUCUGAAAUCUGUAAGCAGAAUAGGAUCUCCACAGCCCGUGUGAGCACAACAUAUUGGGAAACUGCCUUGGUUCUUAUAGCAGAUUCACACUGCUCAACCAGACCACAACCGGCAGAACAAAUGACGACAGCCUUCAAGUUGAUAUCCAUCCUCAACCUCACCAAGCAAACUGGGCAACUAGGUCCUGUGUCGAGUCUCUCAACUAAAUGAAUGCUUGAACACGCAACCUCCAAAGUUAUUUCCUCUACUCUGUUUUCAACUCCUUGACCAUUGAGAAAAAUUGCCUGUUGGCGUGUGUUAAGUUUGAGAUCAGCCCCAGGUACCUUCUCUUUUAGCCUUGAGAUCUGGCCCAAAAUUCUUAACCACUUGUUUCAUCAAGUCGGGAGGUAGGUCCCUCCCUCUCAGAGGGAUUACUAACUGCUUUUCUUCAUGGAGGGAGAGUAGAGAUUGAAUUAACUUCUGCUGAGCCAAAGCAAUCUUUUCUGGUGAACCAAAAUUCUUAAGUUCAGGCUGGGCCUGUCAAAACUAUGUAUGUUUUGGUCUCUUGCUGUAUGGAGCAUUAAAGACUAAUGCCCUCUCUGGACAAAAUGAGUUGUAGAGCUGCGGAGGAAGGCUUCCAUGGUCAAUGAGUUUUCCUCUCGACAGUUCUUCCAGAGGUCUCCUAACUUCUGCACUGUCUUGGUGGCAUUGGUUUAUCUUCAGUCGGUGGGAACCAUUAGCAGUUCUGUUUAGGUUCCACUCAAGACCUAACCAAAAACGAUUCAUUGUCAGCACUCAAAAAAGAUGCAAUAGAUGACAUGACAGAAACUAACAACCAAAAAUAGGGCGAUUUAUUUGGACAGAAAUAUUCUUAAAACACAACUUCAAAUACAGGGCCUUUUUUAUAAUUGCUACCAAAAUUAUUAGUUCCAUUUACAAAAAUUCCAAAAUGAAAGUAACUAUGUACACGCCCUUAAAUUGUGUCCAUCUUAAACAUUAGUGCCUUAAAUCCACAUCCUUAAUAUAAUCACCAAUGAAACAGUAAAAUAAGGGACCAAAAACAAAAAAAGAAAACUACUUCACAUUCUCCGUUUUUCCAACCUUUUCUUUGGGAGGGAAGGGGUGCAAAAAUACUGCUGAAGCUUAACUGGAUAUAAGUUAUUAUUUUAUAAAGAAGAAACAACACAAUUGAACAAAAUACAUGGUGAAAGUCAACAUUUUUUAGGGGGAAUAUUAAGUUGCAGCCAUGUAAAUAAAAGGCUCGGCUUUUGAAAAACAUCAACAGAAAAAUCAAAGCAUCUAUAAAAGAAAAUGAGCAUAAUGAGAAUACCAUUAAAUGUUUUGAAGUUUGCAAGUAUUUUUUCCAAUUGUUCGCAAUCACGUGAUACACUGGUGCAGGAAAUAUCAAGGAGCUAUGAAACAACUGUUCACACAUUAUCUUUGCCAUGAAAGACAUCCGGGUAAUACCUUUCCUUCAAUUUCUUCCAAAGCUUUAGCUGCUUCUAAAUGUAAUCUUCCAUCAAAAUUAUUAAAGCUCUCAUGUAAGAAUCCUUUGGCUCAGGUGAAAUACCUGAACACGCAAGAACUAAUAUGAGGUCUACCUUGGCAUUAAGGGGAAAUUACUUUAAAGAGUGCCUCUUCGCAGGCACUGCCAGGGUGGAUUUCCAACAGCCUCUCCCCUCACCACAAAAAGUCCAGAAUCCUUCUACUUGUAGCAUUCUUAGACAUCCAAAAUUUCUGUUUCUUGAAGCUCUCUGUCAACCCACUUAUCAUAAUACCGUCCAUUGACUUAUUACUAGGUGCACACGAACAUACCUCCCUCCAAUUGCAAGGUUAUAAAAUCUCUCAACAUGAAAUUGACAUCAUUUUUAUCACAUAUAACAUGCCAAAUCCUCUGCUAAGUCUGGCGAGGCCAGAAUUCUGCUUUAACUUCAGGAAAUAAGAAUGUUUUAUCCCCUCCCAAUAGCUGAUUGUGAAGGAAGUAUAUUUCAAGUUCGAGCCGCAAAACUCGUCUCCAUCCAGCUCAACGGCUCUUUUGGCAGCAUCAGGGACAAAAAUGUUAUCUUGCCCCACUUUUCUCUAUCUGAGGAUCCUUCCCCAUUCCUUGGAACUUGUACACAGCACAAUAGAACCUGAGUAAUCUUUCAAAAAACAUCAGGGCUCCUUUCACAUUGCAUUUAUUUGAGUUACUAUCACAUCAACUCAGGGAAUGCUUCUCGAGUUCAAUGCUUAUCUCAGCACCAGACCCAAACAAAGCCAUAGGUGAGCAGACAGACCCGUGAUACAAACAUUUUCCAUACAUCGUCGUGAACCUCUUUCUCGAUUCUAAAAAUCACUCACCAACAUAGUGCUGUAUUCAUUGCGUGUGAAGCGGCAUAUAACUGGAUGAGAUUCUCGUCAACGUUCACUUCAACAAGAUCUUUCAUACCAACAAGCUUUCUAAUACGUGAAACAUGACCAAGCAAAUUACUGUUGGAUUUCCCACAAAAUCUUUGAGAAUACUGCCAAAACCAGUCAAUGUCUUAGUUGCAACUUCCGUUCUUCCAUCUUGGAUAACAUCAAACAGAGGGAGGUUAAGGUCGUAUAAGAUUGAAACUCAACAGCACUAACACAGACCAGACAUUAGACACUGAGAGAAGGUCACCGAAAACCACCAACUAGGCUUCUGAGCAAACACGAGCAAGGAAGAAGAUGAUGCAGUUGAACAUGUUUCCAGUUUCCGCACUUCAUAACCAAGUGAUUGCGUCCAGAAAACAUGGCUACAUUUCAGGAAAGUGAGGCCAGUAUAACCUUUCAUUUUUCUAUCAUGAACAGAAGGUGUAUGAGGAUCCCAACGCCAGUAACUUAGGAACACAAAGCCAUUUCACGCUCUAGAAAAGAGUUCUAACUCGAAAACUGUGUCUUGGCAUCUCUCUAAGUUUAGCAUUGAUGCUAUUUCCCAACACCACUAUUCCUCCUCUCUUGAGGCAUGAGCCUCCCAUUCUUUGUACACAAGAGAGUGUAAAAGGUCACCAUCAGAAUGCAAAUUGCACUUUGAGACAAUCAGAUCUUUGCUUUAUCACCUUCAUACCAAUAUGCAAAAUAUGUUACUAGCAUUGGCAUAUGCGCAAGGGCAACACCUUCUCUGCCAGAGCAAGUUGGAAACAGCCAAGGACACGAUACAAGAAGGAAUGAUAAUCAAAUAGUAGUAGAUGAAGGACCGAUCAACAAAUCUUUACGACAAAUUAAAAAAAUGACAUGGAGCGACACUAUUUCUCAUUUAAAAGUAUCACAUUUUUAUUGAUUAUAUAUCUUUAUGGUUCAUGAUAAGAUUCACUUCACAAUUUGAAAAAUGUUUCUUUAAUUCAAGAUUUUAAAUCUCAAUGACGAUGGUGGUUGAGGUUAUCAAGAAAUGGCAUCAAUAUGAGAUAUAAUAUCUUAAAAUUGUUAGAGCACAAACAAUCCUUUAGAUUUUCUGUCCUGAGGACAAGAACUAGAAACUUAAAGAAUGACAAGCAUCAACCAAUACCUUCAGAAUAAAAUAUAGACUAAAUAGUAUCAUUGUGAAUCUACAAUGCUUAACAUCUACAAAUUAAGGUAUUAUAUAGGGAAUACUAUAUCAAUCAUAUCUGAUUUUCGGGCUGUGAAAAGAACUCCUUUGCUUUAUGAGCUACCUCUGCUUCCAAAAUUGCUUCUUGAACUAUUCAGAUCCUUUCACAUCAGCUCCUAAUACAACCAAAGCUUGUUUCAAUUCAGAUAUCAUUCUAGAGCAAAUAAAAAACGCUCAUAAAAAUCACUAUAACAUAGUAUGCGAUGCAGAUAACAGACAAUCAUGAUUAAGUUAUUAUUACCACCACGAUUUGGUAAGAGUCAGACUUUCAGCGGAAACUGGCAUGACAUAAGCUGCAGACCAUCUUUAAUCUCUCAACUUCAGCACUACUUGCAAUGAACCAUUCUUGAUGGAAGGCCUCGGCCAACCUGGCAUAAGUAGUUGCUUUGCUUUGCUAUUGAUGAUUGGAUGGCAAUGAGUUGAAUCCUAUAAAUAAUAGAGUGUGUAAGAAAACCGCUCCCUAGAGGAGUCCAUUCUAUGAAAAUAUUAGUUUUUGUAUGUGUCGUAAUAAACCUUGGUAAGAGACGAUAUUUGAGAGAUUCACCCAGCACCUUCCGGUAUCCGUUUGUGCAUAUCCACCUACAGCGAUAACCGGUAUACAAAUAUCGGCAUCAAUACAUUUUUCGAUUUUAUAAUCGUGAAUGCAUCAACCAAUACCUUCAAGAUAAAAUAUAGACUAAAUAUGUAUCAUUGUGAAUCUACAAAUGCUAACAUCUACAAAAUUAAGGUAUUAUAUAGGAAUACUAUAUCAAUCAUAUCUGAUUUUCAGGCUGUGAAAAGAACUCCUUUGCUUUAUGAGCUACCUCUGCUUCCAAAAUUGCUUCUUGAACUAUGUCAGAUCCUUUCACAUCAGCUCC
Molecule: long non-coding RNA, 9578 nt
Filed under: Lathyrus oleraceus (garden pea)
Lineage: Eukaryota; Viridiplantae; Streptophyta; Magnoliopsida; Fabales; Fabaceae
Description: Pisum sativum (pea) long non-coding RNA (PSAT_LNC010529)
Source: RNAcentral